GCGUGGCUGGCUCAGUCCGUAGAGCACGAGACUCUUGAUCUCGGGGUCCUGAGUUCAAGCCCCAUGUUGGGCA
RNAcentral lists this transfer RNA (73 nucleotides) under Ailuropoda melanoleuca (giant panda). It matches the Rfam family "tRNA". From Rfam's summary of the family: Transfer RNA (tRNA) molecules are approximately 80 nucleotides in length. Their secondary structure includes four short double-helical elements and three loops (D, anti-codon, and T loops). Further hydrogen bonds mediate the characteristic L-shaped molecular structure. tRNAs have two regions of fundamental functional importance: the anti-codon, which is responsible for specific mRNA codon recognition, and the 3' end, to which the tRNAs corresponding amino acid is attached (by aminoacyl-tRNA synthetases). tRNAs cope with the degeneracy of the genetic code in two manners: having more than one tRNA (with a specific anti-codon) for a particular amino acid; and 'wobble' base-pairing, i.e. permitting non-standard base-pairing at the 3rd anti-codon position. Lineage: Eukaryota; Metazoa; Chordata; Mammalia; Carnivora; Ursidae. The record is from Rfam by way of RNAcentral.